Molecule: ribosomal RNA, 253 nt
Filed under: uncultured bacterium
Lineage: Bacteria
Description: partial 16S ribosomal RNA
Rfam family: Bacterial small subunit ribosomal RNA
Source: RNAcentral
UACGAAGGGUGCUAGCGUUGUUCGGAAUUACUGGGCGUAAAGGGCGCGUAGGCGGCCUAUUAAGUUAGAUGUGAAAGUCCUGGGCUCAACCUGGGGACUGCAUUUAAUACUGGUUGGCUUGAAUUCGGGAGAGGAUAGCGGAAUUCCCAGUGUAGAGGUGAAAUUCGUAGAUAUUGGGAAGAACACCGGUGGCGAAGGCGGCUAUCUGGACCGACAUUGACGCUGAGGCGCGAAAGCGUGGGGAGCAAACAGG